AUUGAACGAUAGCGGGAUGCUUUACACAUGCCAGUCGACCGAGUAGCGGACUGGUGAGUAAUAUAUCGGCACGUGCACAGUAGCGGGGGAAAACUACUCGACACCGUGGCUAAUACCGCAUACUAUCCGCGCGGACGAUAUGGGAUUAGCUAGUUGGUGGGGGGAAGGCUCACCAAGGCAACGAUCCGUAGCUGGUUUGAGAGGAAGACCAGCCACACUGGGACUGAGACACGGCCCAGACUCCUACGGGAGGCAGCAGUGGGGAAUUUUGGACAAUGGGGGAAACCCUGAUCCAGCCAUCCCGCGUGUAUGAGAAGGCCUUCGGGUUGUAAAGUACUUUUGGCAGAGAAGCGGUAUCUGCAGAAUAAGCACCGGCUAACUACGUGCCAGCAGCCGCGGUAAUAC
Molecule: ribosomal RNA, 405 nt
Filed under: uncultured bacterium
Lineage: Bacteria
Description: partial 16S ribosomal RNA
Rfam family: Bacterial small subunit ribosomal RNA
Source: RNAcentral